CUGUCUUUUUUUGAAUAUUAUUUUAAUUUAAUUUUUAAGUUAAAAAGCUUAAAUUUUUUUAAAGGACGAGAAGACCCUAUAGAGUUUUAUAAAUUUAUUUAUUUAUAAUUUAAUAAUUUUUUUAUUUUGAUAAAUUUAUUUUAUUGGGGCGAUAAAAAAAUUUAAUAAACUUUUUUAUUUAAUAAAACAUUAAUUAAUGAAAUAUUUUGAUCCUAAAUUUUAGAUUAUUAGAUUAAAUUACCUUAGGGA
RNAcentral lists this ribosomal RNA (249 nucleotides) under Nipponorhynchus bimaculatus. RNAcentral's name for it is "partial 16S ribosomal RNA". Lineage: Eukaryota; Metazoa; Arthropoda; Insecta; Hymenoptera; Tenthredinidae. The record is from RNAcentral.